GAUAAACGCUGGCGGCGUGCAUGAGACAUGCAAGUCGAACGAAGGAUCGGGCUUGCUCGAUCCUUAGUGGCGGACGGCUGAGUAACGCGUAGGUGACCUACCCCGAAGUGGGGAAUAACUGCCCGAAAGGGUGGCUAAUACCGCAUGUGGUCGCACGUUCAUUCGUGCGAGUAAAGCCGCAAGGCGCUUCGGGAGGGGCCUGCGUCCGAUUAGCUCGUUGGUUGGGUAAUGGCUUACCAAGGCGACGAUCGGUAGGUGGGCUGAGAGGGCGAUCACCCAGACUGGGACUGAGACACGGCCCAGACUCCUACGGGGAGCAGCAGUCGGGAAUUUUGCUCAAUGGGGGAAACCCUGAAGCAGCAACGCCGGGUGAGGGAUGAAGGCGUUCGGGUUGUGAACCUGUUUUGUCAGGGGCGAUGAUGACGGUACCUGGCGAAUAAGCCACGGCUAACUACGUG
RNAcentral lists this ribosomal RNA (458 nucleotides) under uncultured bacterium. Its description in RNAcentral is "partial 16S ribosomal RNA". It matches the Rfam family "Bacterial small subunit ribosomal RNA", at positions 28 to 507 of the family's 1533-position model. The record is from RNAcentral.